This 486-nucleotide long non-coding RNA is filed under the name Bos grunniens (domestic yak). RNAcentral describes it as "lncRNA (ENSBGRG00000011375.1)". The record is from RNAcentral. Lineage: Eukaryota; Metazoa; Chordata; Mammalia; Artiodactyla; Bovidae.
CACAGGAAAUGCCUAUACUGCCCUCCUCACUCACUUCCGGUGGCAGGUAUGGAACCUAUAGGGGGGCCUGUCACCCGGCACGUGCGCCGGGGGCCGGCCGGGCGGGCGGGGAGGAAGGCCGGCGGGCCGGCGGGGGGCCGACCCCGACCCCGACCCCGACCCGACCCGACCCGACCAGAUCCGCCCCGGAGCCUGGGCCUGGCCGGCUGGGCCUCGCCCCCAGCGCCCCUGGCAGGGCUGCCUCGGCGAGGAGGGAUUCCGGAGCCAGUGGUCUCCGUACUGGGUCUGCUCGGACUAGGCCUCUUCUGGUGGUGGACGCCCGAGGCCAAUGGCCUUCCCUGUUCCUGCCACGUCCUGCCUGCCGAGAGAAGGGGUCACGGGACAGGAGGUAUCACCCGUGGGCUUCCCUGGUGUCACAGUGGUAAAGAAUCUACUUGCCAACGCAGGACCCCUGGAUUCCAUCUCUGGGUUGCAAAGAUCCCCUGA